AACGCUGGCGGCAGGCCUAACACAUGCAAGUCGAGCGGCAACGGGAAGAAUUUUCUUCGCCGGCGAGCGGCGGACGGGUGAGUAUAAUCUGGGGAUCUACCCAAUAGAGGGGGAUAACUAUUGGAAACGAUAGCUAAUACCGCAUAAUGUUUAAUAAACCAAAGUGGGGGACUUUCGGGCCUCAUGCUAUUGGAUGAACCCAGGCGAGAUUAGCUAGUAGGCGGGGUAAUAGCCCACCUAGGCAACGAUCUCUAGCUGGUUUGAGAGGAUGGCCAGCCACACUGGAACUGAGACACGGUCCAGACUCCUACGGGAGGCAGCAGUGGGGAAUAUUGCACAAUGGGGGGAACCCUGAUGCAGCCAUGCCGCGUGUGUGAAGAAGGCCUUCGGGUUGUAAAGCACUUUCAGCAGGGAAAAAGGUAAUAGUGUUAAUAGUACUAUUAAUUGAUAUUAACUGCAGAAGAAGCACCGGCUAACUCCGUGCCAGCAGCCGCGGUAAUACGGAGGGUGCAAGCGUUAAUCGGAAUUACUGGGCGUAAAGCGUACGCAGGUGGUUUGUUAAGUUAGGUGUGAAAUCCCCGGGCUUAACCUGGGAACUGCAUUUAAAACUGGCAAGCUAGAGUUUCGUAGAGGGGGGUAGAAUUCCAAGUGUAGCGGUGAAAUGCGUAGAUAUUUGGAGGAAUACCAGUGGCGAAGGCGGCCCCCUGGACGAAAACUGACACUCAGGUACGAAAGCGUGGGGAGCAAACAGGAUUAGAUACCCUGGUAGUCCAUGCUGUAAACGAUGUCGAUUUGAAGGUUGUGACCUUGAGUCAUGGCUUUCGGAGCUAACGUGUUAAAUCGACCGCCUGGGGAGUACAGUCGCAAGGUUAAAACUCAAAUGAAUUGACGGGGGCCCGCACAAGCGGUGGAGCAUGUGGUUUAAUUCGAUGCAACGCGAAGAACCUUACCUACUCUUGACAUCCAAAGAACUUAGCAGAAAUGCUUUGGUGCCUUCGGGAACUUUGAGACAGGUGCUGCAUGGCUGUCGUCAGCUCGUGUUGUGAAAUGUUGGGUUAAGUCCCGCAACGAGCGCAACCCUUAUCCUUUGUUGCCAGCGAUUAGGUCGGGAACUCAAAGGAGACUGCUGGUGAUAAACCGGAGGAAGGUGGGGAUGACGUCAAGUCAUCAUGGCUCUUACGAGUAGGGCUACACACGUGCUACAAUGGUGCAUACAAAGGGAAGCGAUCUUGUGAAAGUUAGCGGAUCUCAUAAAGUGCAUCGUAGUUCGGAUUGGAGUCUGCAACUCGUCUCCAUGAAGUCGGAAUCGCUAGUAAUCGUGAAUCAGAAUGUCACGGUGAAUACGUUCCCGGGCCUUGUACACACCGCCCGUCACACCAUGGAAGUAGGUUGCAAAAGAAGUGAGUAGUUUAACCCCCUAGGGGAGGGCGCUUACCACUUUGUGAUUUAUGA
This 1452-nucleotide ribosomal RNA is filed under the name Sodalis-like endosymbiont of Neophilaenus lineatus. RNAcentral describes it as "bacterial SSU rRNA". It matches the Rfam family "Bacterial small subunit ribosomal RNA". Lineage: Bacteria; Pseudomonadati; Pseudomonadota; Gammaproteobacteria; Enterobacterales; Bruguierivoracaceae. The record is from RNAcentral.